AGCGAACGCUGGCGGCAGGCCUAACACAUGCAAGUCGAACGAACUCUUCGGAGUUAGUGGCGGACGGGUGAGUAACACGUGGGAACGUGCCUUUUGGUUCGGAAUAACUCAGGGAAACUUGUGCUAAUACCGAAUGUGCCCUUCGGGGGAAAGAUUUAUCGCCAUUAGAGCGGCCCGCGUCUGAUUAGCUAGUUGGUGAGGUAACGGCUCACCAAGGCGACGAUCAGUAGCUGGUCUGAGAGGAUGACCAGCCACACUGGGACUGAGACACGGCCCAGACUCCUACGGGAGGCAGCAGUGGGGAAUCUUGCGCAAUGGGCGAAAGCCUGACGCAGCCAUGCCGCGUGAAUGAUGAAGGUCUUAGGAUUGUAAAUUUCUUUCACCGGGGACGAUAAUGACGGUACCCGGAGAAGAAGCCCCGGCUAACUUCGUG
Molecule: ribosomal RNA, 433 nt
Filed under: uncultured bacterium
Lineage: Bacteria
Description: partial 16S ribosomal RNA
Rfam family: Bacterial small subunit ribosomal RNA
Source: RNAcentral